CACGUAGGGGCCAAGCGUUGUCCGGAUUUAUUGGGCGUAAAGAGCUCGUAGGCGAUUCGACAAGUCGGGUGUGAAAACUCCGGGCUCAACCCGGAGACGCCACCCGAUACUGUCGUGACUGGAGUCCGGUAGGGGAGUGGGGAAUUCCUGGUGUAGCGGUGAAAUGCGCAGAUAUCAGGAGGAACACCGGUGGCGAAGGCGCCACUCUGGGCCGGUACUGACGCUGAGGAGCGAAAGCGUGGGUAGCAAACAGG
This 254-nucleotide ribosomal RNA is filed under the name uncultured bacterium. RNAcentral describes it as "partial 16S ribosomal RNA". It matches the Rfam family "Bacterial small subunit ribosomal RNA", at positions 524 to 776 of the family's 1533-position model. The record is from RNAcentral.